AUUGAACGCUGGCGGCAGGCCUAACACAUGCAAGUCGAGCGAGCGGCGGACGGGUGAGCAAUGUAUGGGGACUGCCCGAUAGAGGGGGAUAACUACUGGAAACGGUAGCUAAUACCGCAUACUAUCGGAUAACCCAUAGGGGAUUAGCUAGUAGGUGCGGUAAUGGCGCACCUAGGCGACGAUCCCUAGCUGGUCUGAGAGGAUGAGCAGCAACACUGGGAAUGAGACACGGCCCAGACUCAUACGGAGGCAGCAGUGGGUAAUAUUGCACAAUGGGCGCAAGCCUGAUGCAGCCAGGCCGCGUGUAUGGAGAAGGCCCUAGGGUUGGAAAGUACUUUCAGUCGGGAGGCGUUACCGACAGAAGAAGCACCGGCUAACUCCGUGCCAGCAGCCGCGGUAAUAC
RNAcentral lists this ribosomal RNA (403 nucleotides) under uncultured bacterium. RNAcentral's name for it is "partial 16S ribosomal RNA". It matches the Rfam family "Bacterial small subunit ribosomal RNA", at positions 29 to 526 of the family's 1533-position model. The record is from RNAcentral.